UACAGAGGUCCCAAGCGUUGUUCGGAUUCACUGGGCGUAAAGGGUGCGUAGGUGGUCGGGUAAGUCUGAUGUGAAAUCUCGGAGCUCAACUCCGAAACUGCAUUGGAUACUAUUCGGCUGGAGGGUCGGAGGGGGGACUGGAAUUCUCGGUGUAGCAGUGAAAUGCGUAGAUAUCGAGAGGAACACCAGUGGCGAAGGCGAGUCCCUGGACGACUCCUGACACUGAGGCACGAAAGCUAGGGGAGCAAACAGG
RNAcentral lists this ribosomal RNA (253 nucleotides) under uncultured bacterium. Its description in RNAcentral is "partial 16S ribosomal RNA". It matches the Rfam family "Bacterial small subunit ribosomal RNA", at positions 524 to 776 of the family's 1533-position model. The record is from RNAcentral.